GAUGAACGCUGGCGGCGUGCCUAAAACAUGCAAGUCGAGCGGUAAGGCCCCUUCGGGGGUACACGAGCGGCGGACGGGUGAGUAACACGUGGGAAUCUACCCCAAACUGAGGGAUAAGCACCGGAAACGGUGUCUAAUACCGCAUAUGGUCUUCGGAUUAAAGCUUCGGCGGUUUGGGAAGAGCCCGCGUAAGAUUAGCUAGUUGGUGAGGUAAAGGCUUACCAAGGCGACGAUCUUUAGCUGGUUUGAGAGGAUGAUCAGCCACACUGGAACUGAGACACGGUCCAGACGCCUACGGGAGGCAGCAGUUAGGAAUUUUCCACAAUGGGCGAAAGCCUGAUGGAGCAACGCCGCGUGCAGGAUGAAUGCCUUCGGGUUGUAAACUGCUUUUAUGUGCGAAGAAUAUGACGGUAACACAUGAAUAAGGAUCGGCUAACUCCGUGCCAGCAGCCGCAGUAA
Molecule: ribosomal RNA, 459 nt
Filed under: uncultured bacterium
Lineage: Bacteria
Description: partial 16S ribosomal RNA
Rfam family: Bacterial small subunit ribosomal RNA
Source: RNAcentral